GACGAACGCUGGCGGCGUGCUUAACACAUGCAAGUCGAACGGAAAGGCCCUGCUUUUGUGGGGUGCUCGAGUGGCGAACGGGUGAGUAACACGUGAGUAACCUGCCCUUGACUUUGGGAUAACUUCAGGAAACUGGGGCUAAUACCGGAUAGGAGCUCCUGCUGCAUGGUGGGGGUUGGAAAUUUUCGGCGGUUGGGGAUGGACUCGCGGCUUAUCAGCUUGUUUGUGGGGUAGUGGCUUACCAAGGCUUUGACGGGUAGCCGGCCUGAGAGGGUGACCGGGCACAUUGGGACUGAGAGACGGACCAGACUGCUACGGGAGGCAGCAGUGGGGAAUAUUGCACAAUGGGCGGAAGCCUGAUGCAGCAACGCCGCGUGCGGGAUGACGGCCUUCGGGGUGUAAACAGCUUUCGCCUGUGACGAAGCGUGAGUGACGGUAAUGGGUAAAGAAGCACCGGCUAACUACGUG
This 468-nucleotide ribosomal RNA is filed under the name uncultured bacterium. RNAcentral describes it as "partial 16S ribosomal RNA". It matches the Rfam family "Bacterial small subunit ribosomal RNA", at positions 28 to 507 of the family's 1533-position model. The record is from RNAcentral.